UGCCUUCGGGAGCCGUAACACAGGUGCUGCAUGGCUGUCGUCAGCUCGUGUCGUGAGAUGUUGGGUUAAGUCCCGCAACGAGCGCAACCCUUGUCAUUAGUUGCCAUCAUUAAGUUGGGCACUCUAAUGAGACUGCCGGUGACAAACCGGAGGAAGGUGGGGAUGACGUCAAGUCCUCAUGGCCCUUAUGACCAGGGCUUCACACGUCCUACAAUGGUCGGUACAAAGGGUAGCCAAGCCGCGAGGUGGAGCCAAUCUCACAAAACCGAUCGUAGUCCGGAUUGCACUCUGCAACUCGAGUGCAUGAAGUCGGAAUCGCUAGUAAUCGCAGGUCAGCAUACUGCGGUGAAUACGUUCCCGGG
This 362-nucleotide ribosomal RNA is filed under the name uncultured Neisseria sp. Its description in RNAcentral is "bacterial SSU rRNA". It matches the Rfam family "Bacterial small subunit ribosomal RNA", at positions 1014 to 1378 of the family's 1533-position model. Lineage: Bacteria; Pseudomonadati; Pseudomonadota; Betaproteobacteria; Neisseriales; Neisseriaceae. The record is from RNAcentral.